UAUGAGGUAUCGUCUAUUUCAAACUAUUACAACCUCAGAGACUCAGAAUUCCACAGGGUAAGACAAGCAGAUGCAGACCCAUUUUCAAUCCAAAGUUUGCCCUUGUCCAAAGGUUCCUCAGAGAUGGCUUUCAAAAGUCUGUGUGAAGUGCCAGCCUCAAAAAUGUAGAAGCCUGUUGAGAACACUGCCAGACAACUCAGAUAUUUUAGAUUUUUUUUUUUUUUGGUCAAAAAAAAAAAGAACGGCUCUUCUUGGGUCCUGUGGCAAUUGGCUUUGAAAUCUGAGCACAGUUUUAUUCUUCAUUUGAGAACACCAGUGGGUUCUUCCAAAUACAAUUUAUUGUCUCUUAUUUAAGGGCUCUUGGUUCUGUUGAAUAGAAGAUUAAAUUUCUAAUAGAAGAUUUUUUUCAAUUAUGUGAAUGGAAGCAUGAAUGAAUGCUAUCAAGCGUAUGUAUAAUAAAGGAUGUGUCUCUCCAUAGGAGAAAAUACAGGAAGAUUUUUGGUGCAAAACUCCUUUUUAAAAUAAGACAUGACUAUUAGGUGCAGAGAGCUCUGAAAGGACAACUUACUAGAGGCUGUCAGUAUUGGACGCCACAGAGGAUAUGGCACCACCAGAAUGGAUAUCAGUCUUCAAGAGGGAUAAAGAACCAGGUUGAGCUCUUCGGCUUCCAAAUCUCCCAAAGGCAUAUUUACCCCCAAUAACCAGAGACAAAGAGUGAAAUCCGCGCAUCUGCUGCCCAAGCUGAGGUCUCACCAGGAAAUGAGAUGUCAGCCUCCCUCAGUUGCAAAUAUUCCUCAUCUCCGAUCCCAUGAGGUGUAGGCAGAGAAAUUUCCACAUAGUUGGUGCUCAGUAAACAUGUGUUCAAAGGAGAGAAGACAGAAAGGAGGGAAAUUUUGCAGAUCUCUUCAAUGACUGGCCAGUAGAAGAUGCCUGUAUUCCUCUACGUGCUACUGCAUUCAAACUGUUGAGAUAUGCUGUUUUGGUUGAAAUAUGUGAAGAAAAUCCAGCUUCACACAGAAAUAUACUUGGGCAGUGGAAGAUUAUUAUAAUAGAUCUUUAUAAAAUUGUGGAUAGUCUUUGACACUACACCAAAACUUGCUUUGUUGAAGUAAAAUUAUUUUAAGUGCACAAUUUGAUAUGUUUUGACAAUGUGUGUACACACCAGCGAAACCAUCACCACAAUCAAGGAGAUGAACAAAUUAAGAAGUGUCCUGAUCACCCUUGGUAAUCCAUGCCUCCCCUCCACUCCUUUCCCAGGCAGCCAGUAAUCUGCAAGUAUAUACUUUUGUUCCAA
Molecule: non-coding RNA, 1294 nt
Organism: Microcebus murinus (gray mouse lemur)
Lineage: Eukaryota; Metazoa; Chordata; Mammalia; Primates; Cheirogaleidae
Source: RefSeq, a predicted model, not a curated record